GUGCUCGCUUCGGCAGCAUAUGUACUGAAAUUGGAACGAUACAGAGAAGAUUAGCAUGGCCCUUGCGCAAGAAUGACACGCAAAUUUGUAAAGCGUUCCAAUGAAUG
Marmota marmota marmota (Alpine marmot) is the source of this 107-nucleotide small nuclear RNA. The record is from Ensembl. Lineage: Eukaryota; Metazoa; Chordata; Mammalia; Rodentia; Sciuridae.